UGGGGAAUAUUGGACAAUGGGGGAAACCCUGAUCCAGCGAUGCCGCGUGAGUGAAGAAGGCCCUAGGGUUGUAAAGCUCUUUCAGUGGGGAAGAUAAUGACGGUACCCAAAGAAGAAGCACCGGCUAACUCCGUGCCAGCAGCCGCGGUAAUACGGAGGGUGCAAGCGUUGUUCGGAAUUACUGGGCGUAAAGAGCGCGUAGGCGGUUCUAUAAGUCAGACGUGAAAGCCCUGGGCUUAACCCAGGAUGUGCGUUUGAUACUGUAGAGCUAGAGGACCAGAGAGGUGAGUGGAAUUCCUAGUGUAGAGGUGAAAUUCGUAGAUAUUAGGAGGAACAUCAGUGGCGAAGGCGGCUCACUGGCUGGUAACUGACGCUGAGGCGCGAAAGCGUGGGGAGCAAACAGG
RNAcentral lists this ribosomal RNA (404 nucleotides) under uncultured bacterium. Its description in RNAcentral is "bacterial SSU rRNA". It matches the Rfam family "Bacterial small subunit ribosomal RNA", at positions 355 to 776 of the family's 1533-position model. The record is from RNAcentral.